AUUGGCAUAAGAAACUGCAGUGUUGAAGGAACAUAUUUUGCAACAGUCUGCAAUGCUCUGUGGCAUGUAUCAAAAUUUUCAGAAAGGUUUUCUUCAUCAUCAUCAGAAUCUGAAAUGUCCACAUCAUCUUCUCUGAUAAUUAUUCGAGGAGGAACAAACUGAGAUACAAUCAUGCUCAGGCAUGGCCUAAGAUGGACAGUUUGUGCUGACACCAGAUUGCCAAGAAAACCCAGAUAUUCUUCCACUACCUCUCGGCUUCUUCUCAACCAUGGCAGUUUCUUUAUGUCAGGAUCUGACAGCUGAUGCUUUAACAGCUCAAAGUCAG
This 325-nucleotide long non-coding RNA is filed under the name Gallus gallus (chicken). The record is from RNAcentral. Lineage: Eukaryota; Metazoa; Chordata; Aves; Galliformes; Phasianidae.